This 339-nucleotide ribosomal RNA is filed under the name Tranopelta subterranea. RNAcentral's name for it is "partial 12S ribosomal RNA". Lineage: Eukaryota; Metazoa; Arthropoda; Insecta; Hymenoptera; Formicidae. The record is from RNAcentral.
UUUAAAUAUAAAUUAUUUUUUAAUUGAAAAUUAAAUGGAAUCAUUAAAUUUAUUUAAUUUGGCGGUAUUUUAAAUAGUUAGAGGAAUUUGUUUAUUAAAUGAUAAUCCACGAUAGGAAGAUCUUGACGAAUUUUUUAUGUAUUGUUGUUUGAAAAUUAUUUUAAUAGAAAAUAAUUAAUAAAUUUUUAAUAAUUAUAAUUCAAAUCAAAAUGUAGAAUUGUUAAGGUAUAAUGAAUUACAGUUUAAUUUAAUAGAUUUAUAUUUUUAAUUAAUAUAGUGAAAGAGGAUUUAAUAGUAAAUUUAUUAAAUUAAAUAAAUUGAAAAAUAAAUUAAAAUAUG